GAUGAACGCUGGCGGCGUGCCUAAUACAUGCCAGUCGAGCGAACAGACGAGGAGCUUGCUCCUCUGACGUUAGCGGCGGACGGGUGAGUAACACGUGGAUAACCUACCUAUAAGACUGGGAUAACUUCGGGAAACCGGAGCUAAUACCGGAUAAUAUAUUGAACCGCAUGGUUCAAUAGUGAAAGACGGUUUUGCUGUCACUUAUAGAUGGACCCGCGCCGCAUUAGCUAGUUGGUAAGGUAACGGCUUACCAAGGCGACGAUGCGUAGCCGACCUGAGAGGGUGAUCGGCCACACUGGAACUGAGACACGGUCCAGACUCCUACGGGAGGCAGCAGUAGGGAAUCUUCCGCAAUGGGCGAAAGCCUGACGGAGCAACGCCGCGUGAGUGAUGAAGGUCUUCGGAUCGUAAAACUCUGUUAUUAGGGAAGAACAAAUGUGUAAGUAACUAUGCACGUCUUGACGGUACCUAAUCAGAAAGCCACGGCUAACUACGUG
RNAcentral lists this ribosomal RNA (497 nucleotides) under uncultured bacterium. RNAcentral's name for it is "partial 16S ribosomal RNA". It matches the Rfam family "Bacterial small subunit ribosomal RNA", at positions 28 to 507 of the family's 1533-position model. The record is from RNAcentral.